RNAcentral lists this ribosomal RNA (493 nucleotides) under Meru phyllisae. RNAcentral's name for it is "partial 16S ribosomal RNA". The record is from RNAcentral. Lineage: Eukaryota; Metazoa; Arthropoda; Insecta; Coleoptera; Meruidae.
UAUAAAGUUUAAUCUGCUCAAUGAAUGUUUAAAUAGCUGCAGUAAUUUGACUGUACAAAGGUAGCAUAAUAAUUAGUUUUUUAAUUGAAAGCUUGUAUGAAUGAUUGGACGAGAUAAAAUCUAUUUUAUUUAAUUUAAUAUAGAAUUUAAUUUUUUAGUAAAAAAGCUAAAAUUUGAAUAAAAGACGAGAAGACCCUAUAGAUUUUUAUUUAUUUAUUAUUAAAUAAUUUUAAGAUUAAUUAAUUAUUUAUUAUUAAAUAAAUUUUAUUGGGGUAAUAUAAAGAUUUAAAUAAUUCUUUAAUUUUGUUAAUCAAAGAUUAUUGUGUAUUUGAUCCAUUAUUAGUGAUUAAUAGAUUAAAUUACCUUAGGGAUAACAGCGUAAUAUUUUUGGAGAGUUCUUAUUAAUAAAAAUGUUUGCGACCUCGAUGUUGGAUUAAAAUUUAUUUAAGGUGCAGAAGCUUUUUAAUUUUAGUCUGUUCGACUAUUAAAUUUU